RNAcentral lists this ribosomal RNA (320 nucleotides) under uncultured Glomeromycotina. RNAcentral describes it as "SSU rRNA". It matches the Rfam family "Eukaryotic small subunit ribosomal RNA", at positions 569 to 895 of the family's 1831-position model. The record is from RNAcentral. Lineage: Eukaryota; Fungi; Glomeromycota.
AGCAGCCGCGGUAAUUCCAGCUCCAAUAGCGUAUAUUAAAGUUGUUGCAGUUAAAAAGCUCGUAGUUGAAUUUCGGGAUCAAUUUGUCGGUCGUGCCUCGGUACGUACUGGUAUUAUUGGUUUCUACCUUCUGAAGAACCUUGAUGUCAUUAAUUUGGUGUCUUGGGGAAUCAGGACUGUUACUUUGAAAAAUUAGAGUGUUUAAAGCAAGCAUACGCUUGAAUACAUUAGCAUGGAAUAAUGAAAUAGGACGUUUGAUUCUAUUUUGUUGGUUUCUAGGAUCGACGUAAUGAUUAAUAGGGAUAGUUGGGGGCAUUAGU